Molecule: long non-coding RNA, 3738 nt
Organism: Amphiprion ocellaris (clown anemonefish)
Lineage: Eukaryota; Metazoa; Chordata; Actinopteri; Pomacentridae
Exons: 2
Source: RefSeq, a predicted model, not a curated record
UCUGCCUUUGCUAGUCUGCUGACCCUCGUCUGCAGGGACCUCCACAUGCAGAGGAUCACAGGGACCUCAUUCAGGGCUUGAGUGGAGGAUUUUUCUCGCUUUGGUUUUGCCAGAUACUGCUGACAUACAGAAACAGUUGUGCUGCCUCUUCUGCAGAUGUGGAAAAACGUGUCCAAAGUAUUCAGAGAUGAGAUCGUGUAUGUAGCAGCAGCUGCAGAAUGAACUCAGCUGUGCAGUCACAAAUAAAACUGACAAGUCAAGUAAAUGCGUUUUUAAUAUUCCACUUAAAAUGUAGCUUCACUGAAAGUCAUUACCACCAAUCUGUGUUGUAGUUGCAGGUCAGUUCUGGCGCUUUUCUUGGGCAUGUCUGUAUCAAGACAAUCUUAAAUGCAGAUGCCAAUCUCUCGUUUUCCCGCAUAUCUGAACAAAAACAAACGUUAAACUGAAAGGUUGGAUUUUGUUUAUUUUUUCUGCUCCACUUGGUUCAUCUUUAACAAGAAAACAAAAUGCAUCAAGACUGAUUUUGUUUCAACAUCUUGAUUUGAACAUGCCACUGCUUGAAUAUCACCCUUCAGCUGAGAUAAAGAAAUUAAAACUAAAAUUUGUCAGGGUGAAAAGUUUCCCCCUGACAGCACCUCAGUCUGACCACUAGGUGGAGGAAGAUGACAGAGUUAACAUUGUGGGUGUGGUUAAAUGUAAAGCCCAUAGAAGUAAACAGAGUGGAAUUCAGCAACUGGCCCUUAGAUUUACCAAAAAAAAAACAUGAACAAUGUUUUUGCUGAGGCCUUUUAUUUUGGUGCAUGUACUUCUUUAGGCAGCAGCGUGACAUGCAGCAGAAGUACUAAGUGCGUGGGUGAAGUGCUGAGCAUGAAGACCCACUGGCAUUUCGACUUUUGACCUUUGAAACACACCAAAACCAGUGAUUUCAUAUUUUAAAAGCCUCAUCUGCGGAAUAAAAGCAAAGAGAACUUGCUCUGUGAAAUAAAUGUGCAUAAUAUGUGGAGCAACUGAACUAACGUGGGUGUGCAUGUGUUGUUUUUUAAAUACUCUCAUGGAUUUUUAAAAUAACCUGAGUAAAUGAUCCACUUGUUAAAACAUCCCACUGUCAGUUUUGUUUUUCACUUUGUCUUUUCCACCAAUAUGACACUGCAUUUUAUGUGUGUGUGGGACACUUAACAGGAUCACAUCUGUGUCGUGUUUUGGAAGUAUAACGUGUGCCCUCUCUGUCCUGUCAUGUAACCACCUCACCUUUAACUCAUGAGGCACAUUUCAAAGAUUCCACGGAACUAUUAUAAGACAUCCCGGAUGUUCCAGCUCACGCUUAAAAAACACCACACGGCACAAUUCACAGGAGCCGAGUAUCAGGUUUACACGCUGCAAUACUUUGCGUCCUUUCCCCUCAGGAGCUGUUGGUUCUGGUGUAAAUACUGCUCACAGCUGGGGAGUUUUCACACUGCUGCAGCUGUGAACAAUGUUUAUCCCUUUCUGUAGAUUCUCCAACCAGCUGCUGCAGUUUGAACCCUGUGGAGUAAAGAAAGUGUGAAGGGGAAACUUCACCAUGCUGCUCAAGUGUGGCAACGCCUUCUGCAUUUUCUGCAGGGGAAUGAUAUAGAACAGGGGUAGCCAACACUGUGCCCGCGGGCGCCUGGUUGCCCGCAGAGACCAUGUGAGUUGCCCGCAACACAUGUUCUAAAAAUAACACUAGUCACCAUGAAAUUCCUUAUAAAAAAUUGUAGUUGCUGUUCUUUUUAUAUAAAAAAAUACUUACAUUAAUGCAGAUUUCAAAUUACAGUAUUUAUGAUAAUUUAAAAAAAAAAAAAAAAAAAAAAUGUCUUCGGUGUAAAUGAACUUUCACCUUGCCCGAGUCAAAGUUCACUGCGCAUGUCCAACCACCACGUCACUGCUGAAGCGUCCGGGCGCAGACACUUUGGGAAGCCAGAUGUGGUUUUUACCCCCAAAACAUGGCAGAAAAGCGAAAGAGAAAACACUAUUUUGACGACGACUGGGAGGAAGAGUUCUUUUUCACGACAGUGAAGGAUAAAAGUAUGUGUCCUAUUUGCGGGGCGACUAUUGCGUCGGCAAAGCGGCACAAUAUGGAGAGACUCUACUUUAGCCGCUACGAAGCUUCCAUGCUAACUAGCCACCUGGUAGCGCACAUGGACUGUAUGCACUAUGGACAGGAAAAGCCCUGGACUUAAAGGCAGCUUUGGCAUCUGCUACGCGACGAAAAGUUUCUUCGUGGAGAAAAAUGUACCAUUAAGAAAAGCUUGUUUAGUGAUGACUGACGGGGCUCCUCCAUGACGGGUCAGCAUGCAGGCUUCAUUGUACGAUGCAGAGGUGAUCCAGACUUCCCAACAUUCCUACAUUACCACUGCAGCAUUCACCAGCAGGACAUAUGUAUGUACAAAAGUGGCCGGAUUUGAUCAUGUGAUGACUCGUGUCGUGAAGAUCAUAAAUGGCUCCAAAGCCAAACAACCAGGACAUUGAAGGUGCUGCUGGAGGAGCUGUUAGCUGAACAUGGUGACCUGUUACUACACACAGAAACCCCAUGGAUCAGCAGGGGACCAGUUUUGCAGCGUUUUUUGUCACUGUUGGCCGAAAUCAAAGAGUUGAUGCAGUCCAAAGGAGAAGACACCUUGCUGCUUGAGGACACUGAGUGAAUUCUUGACCUUGCAUUUUUAACGGACAUCACUGGGAAACUGAAACAUCUGAACUGUGAGCUGCAAGGUAAAGGUAAGACAUGAUAAGCUCUGCAAUGCCAGGCUUCCCACUAACACACAUUUACAGACAAAGAAAGAGGUAACACAUGUUGUCAUUCAAAACACCAUGCCAUUACACAAAAAUGUGAAAAAUAAUUUGUUGAAAACAUGUAAUGAUUUGUUGUUAUGAUCUGUUAAAAAUGCUGCAAUGCUGGUGAAAAAUGCUGGUGAUUAGUACUAAUGUGAUAGGAUUAAUUUCAAAAUGAGAAAGAAUUGAUUAUUUUUUCUUACAUAACUGAUAAUUUGUACAAACAUGGGACAGAGUUCAUGAAUUGUUCAAAAAUGUUACAAAGGUAGUGGUUUACACAAAUGAAGCAUGAUUUGAUGACAGUUAAUGAUUUCCUAAAAAUGUUAGAAGUGCUAAUUUGCACAGAAAUGUAACUGGUGUGAUUUUGAACAAAAUGCUGCAAAUAGGCUGAUUCAUACAAAACUGCCAAGAAAGAUAUUUACCAAAGUUUCAGAGAUGGGUUACCUCUGACUUUUAAAUAUUGGAACAGAUUUCCAUAUAUGUGUGUGUGUGUGUGUGUUUCCUACCGUCAUUGUUGUGGAGAUCGUCGUGAAUAAUUAUUGUAAGGAAUAAUUAACAUAAAUGUGAUCAGACAGUCUUUUUACAUAUUAUUUUCAUCAUCAUUAUUAUUGUUGUUUAAAGAUGAUGGCACAAGUUGGCUAUUGAGGAAGUUUGUAUCAAACAAGGUGCCCUUCAUACAACUCAGUACCCUUGAAGUUGCUCUCAGGUUCAAAAAGGUUGGUGACCCCUGAUGUAGAAGUUUUAAAGCUUUCCUUUAAUAAACACAGGAGGAAAAAGUGUAUAAAGUAACUGCAGAAGAUUUCGGAUGAUCUGUAGUUGAGUUUUCAGUUUCUCCUUUACAUAUUAGCAGCUCUAGUAUUAUUUGUUGUACAGCUGUAAUGUUAAAACUCGAGCACAUUUAUCUAUGACUGGCAUUUGGUUUUGGGGUUUCCAAUAAAAUGUUUUGUGCUA